UUUUUUUUUUUCCGUUUAUCAUUAUAAUAUUUCUCCUUUGUGUCCUGUCCUACCAUAUAUAUAUAUUCAUGAGGUCUUUACGCAUUCAAAUUCCCAAGAAAUCGAAUUAUGAAAACUAACGAUACAUGUAUUUGAUUUGAAUCACUUAGUCAACGCUAAUCAAAACACAAGUAUAUGUAUAUAUAUAUAUAGUCAUUCAUACUAAUAAGUUCUAGACUGUUUCCAAC
RNAcentral lists this long non-coding RNA (227 nucleotides) under Capsella rubella. RNAcentral's name for it is "long non-coding RNA (CRUB_LNC000977)". The record is from RNAcentral. Lineage: Eukaryota; Viridiplantae; Streptophyta; Magnoliopsida; Brassicales; Brassicaceae.